UACAGAGGGUGCGAGCGUUAAUCGGAAUUACUGGGCGUAAAGCGCACGUAGGCGGCUUGGUAUGUCGGGUGUGAAAUCCCCGGGCUCAACCUGGGAACUGCAUCCGAAACUGCCUUGCUCGAGUAUGGGAGAGGGAAGUGGAAUUUCCGGUGUAGCGGUGAAAUGCGUAGAUAUCGGAAGGAACAUCAGUGGCGAAAGCGGCUCUCUGGGGACCAUCUGACGCUGAGGCGCGAAAGCGUGGGGAGCGAACCGG
Molecule: ribosomal RNA, 253 nt
Filed under: uncultured bacterium
Lineage: Bacteria
Description: partial 16S ribosomal RNA
Rfam family: Bacterial small subunit ribosomal RNA
Source: RNAcentral